RNAcentral lists this long non-coding RNA (837 nucleotides) under Mytilus galloprovincialis (Mediterranean mussel). The record is from RNAcentral. Lineage: Eukaryota; Metazoa; Mollusca; Bivalvia; Mytilida; Mytilidae.
GUUUGAUUGUAUGCUUGACCCUUAUGGGUGUAAUCAUAAACGUUCUUGAAUGGUUUGGCCGAUGUAUUGCAUGUUAACUCUUGUGUAAUCAUAAACGUUCUUGAAUUGUUUGGCCGAUGUAUUGCAUGUUUACUCUCGUGUAAUCAUAAACGUUCUUGAUUUGCUUGGCCGAUGUAUUGUAUGUUUACUUUUGUGUAUUUUAAACGUUAUUGAAUUGUUUGGCCGAGGUAUUGCAUGUUUUCUUUUGUGCAAUCACAAACGUUCAGGGUUCAACCUCUGCGGUCGUAUAAAGCUGCGCUCUGUGGAGCAUCUGGUCGAUUUUGCCAUAUGAUUAAGGACUUUCCGCUUGAAUUCUUCUCUGAAUUCAUUAUUUUUGGGAUUUACUUUUUAUACUUAUAUUUUUUUAAACUUACCAUUUCCCUUCUUUUUCCUUCAACCAUGUUCUGUCUUCUACAUUAAAUGGAAAACAUCAAGUCAAUACUUUAAAAAGUACACAUUUACUUUUUUACACACAUUUCUUUUAAUUUUGCCAGUAACAUGUCUGAUUUAUUUGCAAGGAUACAAUUAAAUGCCAUAUUUUUAUUGAUAGUGUUGUCGAUGUAACCAUAGUGUUUUCAAAUGAAUGACAUCCUGGGUGUUAUUUUCAUAAACUUUUGUGACGUAUCUGAGACAUAUAUAUAAGCACAACAAUAGUCAGAAUAGUAAUAAUUAUUUCUACGACGGCGUCCCGAAAAAAAAAUCAAACUAGGCUAGCAACAGCUUUAAAUUCCGCAGCUUACAUUGAAUUUAGAUGUUUGAUAUUAGAUUGUCAACCUAUAAAUAGUUCCUUGAAAUAUA